AAAUGAAUAGACGGGAGCCCGCACAAGCAGUGGAGUAUGUGGUUUAAUUCGAAGCAACGCGAAGAACCUUACCAGAGCUUGACAUCCACAGGAGGACUCGUAAUGGAGUCUGUGCCCUUCGGGGAACUGUGAGACAGGUGGUGCAUGGUUGUCGUCAGCUCGUGUCGUGAGAUGUUGGGUUAAGUCCCGCAACGAGCGCAACCCUUAUGAUUAGUUGCUACGCAAGAGCACUCUAAUCAGACUGCCGUUGACAAAACGGAGGAAGGUGGGGACGACGUCAAAUCAUCAUGCCCCUUACGCCCUGGGCUACACACGUACUACAAUGGCGCAAACAGAGGGGAGCAAGUGCGCGAGCAGGAGCAAAUCCUAAAAAUGCGUCCCAGUUCAGAUUGCAGGCUGCAACUCGCCUGCAUGAAGUUGGAAUUGCUAGUAAUCGCGGAUCAGAAUGUCGCGGUGAAUACGUUCCCGGGCUUUGUACACACCGCCCGU
RNAcentral lists this ribosomal RNA (489 nucleotides) under uncultured bacterium. Its description in RNAcentral is "bacterial SSU rRNA". It matches the Rfam family "Bacterial small subunit ribosomal RNA", at positions 903 to 1397 of the family's 1533-position model. The record is from RNAcentral.